AAGAAAAGCACCUAAUAACUUUAUUGAUACGGUGUGGAUAGUUUUUCUUUUAUGGUUUAAUGGCGAGAGUUGAGGGUGGUUUCGAGCUAAUCGAAGAAGAAUUAAAGUUUAGGUGAAGGUUAGGUGUGAAAGUUAGUUCCAGUUCCAGGCUUAGCUAAAUGAACGGGACGACCCUCCCUUUCUCUCUUGAUCAGGCCUAUGACUUUCAUUAACAUUGCUUAUUAUUCUUCUCAUCAUGUCUUUGACAGGUCUGAUGCUGAGAUCGAUAGUGAGGCUGUUUGCAUCGCUGAUGGGUGAGCCUGUUGCAUCAGUCUCGACCUUGCUCUAUUACAGUGGCCUUCUUCCUCAGAACAUGGCCCUCACCAGAAUGGUCCGCCACGACUUGCUUCAUCAUGGGAAUUACCUCUUCCGCUUCCUCGUCGACUUGUUGACUUGCUUAACCUGAUUAUCCCCCUCUGCCGUUUUCCAGCUCAGGGAAUUAAAACCCUUCAUCGUCAGUUACCUGCGAGGGAUGCUUCUGGCUGAACUAGCAGCAGCAUAUGGCUGUGAGGAAAGCGACGAACUGUUAACAACAUAUGAUCGAUCGUUUUAGUAUUUGUGAGUGAUCUCGUGAGCAGGGAAAGAUGAAAACACAUUGAGACACAACUCAUGUAAUCAUGGAGUUACUGUUUCAAAAUAAUAAACAAUUCGACUCGUUUCACCA
Prosopis cineraria is the source of this 703-nucleotide long non-coding RNA. RefSeq lists it as uncharacterized. NCBI's taxonomy places the organism in Eukaryota, Viridiplantae, Streptophyta, Magnoliopsida, Fabales, Fabaceae. The transcript is spliced from 2 exons. The record is from RefSeq and is a predicted model, not a curated record.